GAUGAACGCUGGCGGCGUGCUUAACACAUGCAAGUCGAACGGAAAGGCCCUGCUUUUGUGGGGUGCUCGAGUGGCGAACGGGUGAGUAACACGUGAGUAACCUGCCCUUGACUUUGGGAUAACUUCAGGAAACUGGGGCUAAUACCGGAUAGGAGCUCCUGCUGCAUGGUGGGGGUUGGAAAGUUUCGGCGGUUGGGGAUGGACUCGCGGCUUAUCAGCUUGUUGGUGGGGUAGUGGCUUACCAAGGCGUUGACGGGUAGCCGGCCUGAGAGGGUGACCGGCCACAUUGGGACUGAGAUACGGCCCAGACUCCUACGGGAGGCAGCAGUGGGGAAUAUUGCACAAUGGGCGGAAGCCUGAUGCAGCAACGCCGCGUGCGGGAUGACGGCCUUCGGGUUGUAAACCGCUUUAGCCUGUGACGAAGCGUGAGUGACGGUAAUGGGUAAAGAAGCACCGGCUAACUACGUG
RNAcentral lists this ribosomal RNA (468 nucleotides) under uncultured bacterium. Its description in RNAcentral is "partial 16S ribosomal RNA". It matches the Rfam family "Bacterial small subunit ribosomal RNA", at positions 28 to 507 of the family's 1533-position model. The record is from RNAcentral.